Unclassified non-coding RNA from Pongo abelii (Sumatran orangutan), 298 nucleotides. It matches the Rfam family "Metazoan signal recognition particle RNA". Rfam says of the family: The signal recognition particle (SRP) is a universally conserved ribonucleoprotein. It is involved in the co-translational targeting of proteins to membranes. Lineage: Eukaryota; Metazoa; Chordata; Mammalia; Primates; Hominidae. The record is from Ensembl.
GCCAGGCACAGAGUGGUGUGGGCCUGUAGUCCCAGCUACCUGGGAGGCUGAGGUGGGAGGAUUGCUCGAGCCCAGGAGUUCUGGGCUGUAGUGCGCUAUGCCAAUCAGGUGUCCGCACUAAGUUCGACAUCAAUAUGGUGACCUCCUGGAAGGGGACCACUGGGUUGCCUAAAGAGGGGUGAAUUGGCUCAGGUCAGAAAUGGAGAAGGUCCAAACUCCCGUGCUGAACAACAGUGGGAUCGCUCCUAUGAAUAGCCACCGCAUUCCAGCCUGGCAAUAUAGCGAGACCCCAUCCCUA